GCCCGGGUGGCGGAACUGGCAGACGCGCGCGACUCAAAAUCGCGUGGGGCAACCCAUGAGGGUUCGACUCCCUCCCCGGGCACCA
This 85-nucleotide transfer RNA is filed under the name Ignavibacteria bacterium. RNAcentral describes it as "tRNA-Leu". It matches the Rfam family "tRNA". From Rfam's summary of the family: Transfer RNA (tRNA) molecules are approximately 80 nucleotides in length. Lineage: Bacteria; Pseudomonadati; Ignavibacteriota; Ignavibacteria. The record is from RNAcentral.